AAACCAUGCAUCGGGCAUUUUCUAAGUAAUUCUUUGAAUCUCUCCCAAGCUUCAUACAAAGUCUAAUCCUCGAAUUACCGAAAAGAUGUAAUAUCAUUCCUUAACUU
This is a non-coding RNA of Gossypium raimondii (Peruvian cotton), 107 nucleotides long. The record is from Rfam. Lineage: Eukaryota; Viridiplantae; Streptophyta; Magnoliopsida; Malvales; Malvaceae.